Molecule: non-coding RNA, 106 nt
Filed under: Shouchella lehensis G1
Lineage: Bacteria; Bacillati; Bacillota; Bacilli; Caryophanales; Bacillaceae
Description: Bacillus lehensis G1 SAM riboswitch aptamer (S box leader)
Rfam family: SAM riboswitch aptamer (S box leader)
About the family: The SAM riboswitch is found upstream of a number of genes which code for proteins involved in methionine or cysteine biosynthesis in Gram-positive bacteria.
Source: Rfam by way of RNAcentral
UUCUUAUUAAGAGGAGCGGAGGGACUGGCCCAAUGACGCUUCAGCAACCCCACUUAGGUGGAAGGUGCUAAUUCCUGCAGGAGAUGAAGAUCCUGGAUGAUAAGAG